RNAcentral lists this ribosomal RNA (590 nucleotides) under Escherichia coli. RNAcentral describes it as "bacterial SSU rRNA". It matches the Rfam family "Bacterial small subunit ribosomal RNA", at positions 942 to 1532 of the family's 1533-position model. The record is from RNAcentral. Lineage: Bacteria; Pseudomonadati; Pseudomonadota; Gammaproteobacteria; Enterobacterales; Enterobacteriaceae.
UGGUUUAAUUCGAUGCAACGCGAAGAACCUUACCUGGUCUUGACAUCCACGGAAGUUUUCAGAGAUGAGAAUGUGCCUUCGGGAACCGUGAGACAGGUGCUGCAUGGCUGUCGUCAGCUCGUGUUGUGAAAUGUUGGGUUAAGUCCCGCAACGAGCGCAACCCUUAUCCUUUGUUGCCAGCGGUCCGGCCGGGAACUCAAAGGAGACUGCCAGUGAUAAACUGGAGGAAGGUGGGGAUGACGUCAAGUCAUCAUGGCCCUUACGACCAGGGCUACACACGUGCUACAAUGGCGCAUACAAAGAGAAGCGACCUCGCGAGAGCAAGCGGACCUCAUAAAGUGCGUCGUAGUCCGGAUUGGAGUCUGCAACUCGACUCCAUGAAGUCGGAAUCGCUAGUAAUCGUGGAUCAGAAUGCCACGGUGAAUACGUUCCCGGGCCUUGUACACACCGCCCGUCACACCAUGGGAGUGGGUUGCAAAAGAAGUAGGUAGCUUAACCUUCGGGAGGGCGCUUACCACUUUGUGAUUCAUGACUGGGGUGAAGUCGUAACAAGGUAACCGUAGGGGAACCUGCGGUUGGAUCACCUCCUU